Long non-coding RNA from Biomphalaria glabrata, 417 nucleotides. RefSeq lists it as uncharacterized. The transcript is spliced from 2 exons. The record is from RefSeq and is a predicted model, not a curated record. NCBI's taxonomy places the organism in Eukaryota, Metazoa, Mollusca, Gastropoda, Planorbidae.
AUUUUGCAGAUUAUUGUGGGUGGUUCUAAAAGAUAUAUUCCACGAUAAACUAGAAAUCACUGUAUAUUAAAUUCAAACAGGAUGUUGUGGAGUAUGUGUGUUUAUGUGUCAAGUAGCUGAGGAAACUAUCAUUGUUAAGUGGAUAAAAGGAAUAGGGAACGAGAUAGAACCAUGUUAGAUUAAUGCAUUUGAAAGUAGUAGUUAAGAAGUUAUAUUUGGAGGUGUCUCUGGAGUAGACUUUUCACCUUCAAAGUUGUAAUAGGGACUCGAUGGCCUCUGGCAUUGGUGACUUCCCAGUGAAUCAAUGAUGCAUUCUGGCUGGCUGUACAUCCUUGGGGUGAGACUCUGUGAGUUAUUGAUCGCUUCAGGCAAAUAGUGACUCCCUGGUGAGAGACCCAUUGAGAUGCCGACUACCUC